RNAcentral lists this ribosomal RNA (253 nucleotides) under uncultured bacterium. RNAcentral's name for it is "partial 16S ribosomal RNA". It matches the Rfam family "Bacterial small subunit ribosomal RNA", at positions 524 to 776 of the family's 1533-position model. The record is from RNAcentral.
GACAGAGGGUGCAAACGUUGUUCGGAAUUACUGGGCGUAAAGCGCGUGUAGGCGGCUUUGCAAGUCGGAUGUGAAAUCCCGCGGCUCAACCGUGGAAGUGCACCCGAAACUGCAUCGCUAGAGUAUCGGAGAGGAAAGUGGAAUGCUUGGUGUAGAGGUGAAAUUCGUAGAUAUCAAGCGGAACACCGGUGGCGAAGGCGGCUUUCUGGACGAUUACUGACGCUGAGACGCGAAAGCGUGGGUAGCAAACAGG